UGGGGAAUUUUGGACAAUGGGCGAAAGCCUGAUCCAGCAAUGCCGCGUGUGUGAAGAAGGCCUUCGGGUUGUAAAGCACUUUUUGUCCGGAAAGAAAUCCUUGGCUCUAAUACAGUCGGGGGAUGACGGUACCGGAAGAAUAAGCACCGGCUAACUACGUGCCAGCAGCCGCGGUAAUACGUAGGGUGCAAGCGUUAAUCGGAAUUACUGGGCGUAAAGCGUGCGCAGGCGGUUUGCUAAGACCGAUGUGAAAUCCCCGGGCUCAACCUGGGAACUGCAUUGGUGACUGGCAGGCUAGAGUAUGGCAGAGGGGGGUAGAAUUCCACGUGUAGCAGUGAAAUGCGUAGAGAUGUGGAGGAAUACCGAUGGCGAAGGCAGCCCCCUGGGCCAAUACUGACGCUCAUGCACGAAAGCGUGGGGAGCAAACAGGAUUAGAUACCCUGGUAGUCCACGCCCUAAACGAUGUCAACUAGUUGUUGGGGAUUCAUUUCCUUAGUAACGUAGCUAACGCGUGAAGUUGACCGCCUGGGGAGUACGGUCGCAAGAUUAAAACUUAAAUGAAUUGACGGGGUCAUAGCUGUUUCCU
Molecule: ribosomal RNA, 586 nt
Filed under: uncultured bacterium
Lineage: Bacteria
Description: partial 16S ribosomal RNA
Rfam family: Bacterial small subunit ribosomal RNA
Source: RNAcentral